Molecule: ribosomal RNA, 305 nt
Filed under: uncultured bacterium
Lineage: Bacteria
Description: partial 16S ribosomal RNA
Rfam family: Archaeal small subunit ribosomal RNA
Source: RNAcentral
ACAGCACCGCCGCGGUAACACCAGCAGCCCAAGUGGUGGUCGCGAUUAUUGGGCCUAAAGCGCUCGUAGCCGGGCCGGUAAGUCCCUUGUGAAAUCGGACGGCCUAACCGUUCGGCGUGCAAGGGAUACUGUCGGUCUUGAGGCCGGGAGACGUCCGAGGUACUCCGGGGGUAGCGGUGAAAUGUUCUGAUCCUCGGGGGACCACCGGUGGCGAAGGCGUUCGACGAGAACGGGCCUGACGGUGAGGGGCGAAGGCUAGGGGAGCAAACGGGAUUAGAGACCCCCGUAGUCCCUGUCUCUUAUAC